CACAUCGCUCAAUUAGAACAGUAAAGAUGAGUUUAUAAUGUAAAGCAGAAGAGAGAAGUUUGUCCUUCGGGACAUCCGAUAAAAUUGGAACGAUACAGAGAAGAUUAGCAUGGCCCCUGCGCAAGGAUGACACGCAUAAAUCGAGAAAUGGUCCAAAUUUUUUUUUCUUCCUCUGCGAUCUGUGCUUCUAUGGCUUCCUCUGUCUUCUUCUUCCUUCUUUUCGGGUUCAAUUGCAGAGGGUGCUUUCUCAGUUUAGGAUGACACCGCCUGGCCGCUACAGGCUAAAACUUGCAGUGUGAUUCUUCCAUGUGAUCACCAACCGUUACAACCUUCAUCAAACCACAACUGUGCACACAUUACUGUGGAAUUGGUAUAGCUCGAUAUGCUUUCAAAUUUCAGGUAGAUGAGCAGCCAUCCACUAACAAAGACUAAUGUGCCUAACUCACUCUCAAACGGCGUCUUAAUAGAGGAGGGAUGCCUAUGGCUUAUAAACUUCAUUAGUCCGGGAAAUCCUGACAAUGUGGGACUCUUUGAUACCAUCCCAGCUAUGAAUGUAGUAAGCAUGGCUCUCCCACAUUCCUGUAUUGCUAUUAAACAUGCUCUUCAUUCUGUAAGCAAAAUCAGUUUAUUUGAGAAAGGGCUAGAGACUUCCGCAUCAUGCUGAACCAAGGACGCUCCGUCUUUUCCUUAGAGCUUUCCAAAGGAAGGGCAGCGACCUUAGCUCAGGUGGGGCCAAGGUUGCAUGGGAGCAGGUUUGUCUUCCCAAAGAUGAAGGAGGGCUAGGCAUCAAGAGUAUGGAGCAUUGGAAUCAAGCUGCCAACCUUACUUCGUCUUCGCCCUCCUGCCUUUCCAGUAGUGAAUUCAGCUCUUCUCUUGAAGCAAUAACGCAUUGAUCUAGUUGCUACCGGAGCCACAAAGGAUUAUUAACUUCCUCGAAUAUGACUUUCAGUUUCGGAUAAGACUAGUUCCUAUUGUUUUCAUGAAUUGUUGAUAUAUGGUGUCCUUUUGCAGUAUUUACCUUUCUGGAGAGAACCACAUUCUUUCUAUACCCCAUUGGUGCUGUCAUCGUCCUUUCUCCUAUUUGUAAUAAGUGUUUGAAUAUGACUCCUGAUUGUGUUUUUGCUUUGGAUCCUGUUGUAGCUGAAUUCAAUUUCGUUGACCCUGCAGUGAUUUUAAGUGGCUUCAA
Long non-coding RNA from Alnus glutinosa, 1186 nucleotides. RefSeq lists it as uncharacterized. The transcript has 3 exons. The record is from RefSeq and is a predicted model, not a curated record. Lineage: Eukaryota; Viridiplantae; Streptophyta; Magnoliopsida; Fagales; Betulaceae.